AUUCCAGCUCUGUAAGCGUAUACCAAAGUUGUUGCAGUUAAAACGCUCGUAGUCGGAUUUUGGCGUGGUACAGCUGAGGUCCCUGAUUGGGUUCCGAGGUUAGUCCCGCCUUUGUGGAUGGGGGCGUGGUGGUGCUUAACUGUAUUGCUGCGUUUCCGCCACUGUUUACUGUGAAAAAAUUAGAGUGUUCAAAGCGAGCGAUUGCCAUGAAUACAUUAGCAUGGAAUAAUAGAAUAGGACCUGAUCCUGUUUUGUUGGUUUGUCGGUAUUAGGUAAUGAUUAAGAGGGACGGUCGGGGGCAUUUGUAUUCCAGGGUUAGAGGUGAAAUUCUUAGAUCCUUGGAAGACAAACAGCUGCGAAAGCGUCUGCCAAGGACGUUUUCAUCG
The sequence is a ribosomal RNA, 386 nucleotides long. It matches the Rfam family "Eukaryotic small subunit ribosomal RNA", at positions 582 to 975 of the family's 1831-position model.